GAUGAACGCUGGCGGCGUGCCUAAUACAUGCAAGUCGAGCGAACAGACGAGGAGCUUGCUCCUCUGACGUUAGCGGCUGACGGGUGAGUAACACGUGGAUAACCUACCUAUAAGACUGGGAUAACUUCGGGAAACCGGAGCUAAUACCGGAUAAUAUAUUGAACCGCAUGGUUCAAUAGUUCAAGACGGUUUUGCUGUCACUUAUAGAUGGAUCCGCGCCGCAUUAGCUAGUUGGUAAGGUAACGGCUUACCAAGGCAACGAUGCGUAGCCGACCUGAGAGGAUGAUCGGCCACACUGGAACUGAGACACGGUCCAGACUCCUACGGGAGGCAGCAGUAGGGAAUCUUCCGCAAUGGGCGAAAGCCUGACGGAGCAACGCCGCGUGAGUGAUGAAGGUCUUCGGAUCGUAAAACUCUGUUAUUAGGGAAGAACAAAUGUGUAAGUAACUAUGCACGUCUUGACGGUACCUAAUCAGAAAGCCACGGCUAACUACGUG
This 497-nucleotide ribosomal RNA is filed under the name uncultured bacterium. RNAcentral describes it as "partial 16S ribosomal RNA". It matches the Rfam family "Bacterial small subunit ribosomal RNA", at positions 28 to 507 of the family's 1533-position model. The record is from RNAcentral.